This 497-nucleotide ribosomal RNA is filed under the name uncultured bacterium. Its description in RNAcentral is "partial 16S ribosomal RNA". It matches the Rfam family "Bacterial small subunit ribosomal RNA", at positions 28 to 507 of the family's 1533-position model. The record is from RNAcentral.
GACGAACGCUGGCGGCGUGCCUAAUACAUGCAAGUCGAGCGCUGAAGGUUGGUACUUGUACCAACUGGAUGAGCAGCGAACGGGUGAGUAACGCGUGGGGAAUCUGCCUUUGAGCGGGGGACAACAUUUGGAAACGAAUGCUAAUACCGCAUAAAAACUUUAAACACAAGCUUUAAGUUUGAAAGAUGCAAUUGCAUCACUCAAAGAUGAUCCCGCGUUGUAUUAGCUAGUUGGUGAGGUAAAGGCUCACCAAGGCGAUGAUACAUAGCCGACCUGAGAGGGUGAUCGGCCACAUUGGGGCUGAGACACGGCCCAAACGCCUACGGGAGGCAGCAGUAGGGAAUCUUCGGCAAUGGACGAAAGUCUGACCGAGCAACGCCGCGGGAGUGAAGAAGGGUUUCGGAUCGUAAAACUCUGUUGGUAGAGAAGAACGUUGGUGAGAGUGGAAAGCUCAUCAAGUGACGGUAACUACCCAGAAAGGGACGGCUAACUACGUG